Long non-coding RNA from Macaca fascicularis (crab-eating macaque), 3882 nucleotides. NCBI's taxonomy places the organism in Eukaryota, Metazoa, Chordata, Mammalia, Primates, Cercopithecidae. The record is from Ensembl.
AUAAUGAACACAGGCUGCUUUGUCAUGUCAAAUGAUUUUGGAAGCCUCACAAAUGACUAAGAUUCCAUUAUUGAGCCCUGGGAAAUGAGUGUGAAGGCUUUGUUAUGACUUAAAAUAUCAGAAUGAGUCAUGGUAGGAUGGAGGGCAGGAAGGUAGAGAUUCAGAAAUUGUUACUGCAAAGUCAGUCUCCAAAGAUGGCUCCGAUCUCACCAUAUUCAACUGUUCAUCACCAGCAUCCGUCUCUCGUUAACCAACUUCCCUAGACUCCCAAGGACCACAUUUAUCAGAGCAAUAAUGAGCAGGGAUAGAUUCUGACUGCCCUUGGCCAUGAUGGUUUUGGGGGUACGGAGAAAUGGAGUGGGACUUUUCUUAUUGUCUAGGGAUUGGCAUAUGAAGCCCAAACAAAGGUCAUAGGUGAAAUAAACUCAUGUUCUCAAAAAAUGAUGGGUUGAGGCCAGACACCUCCCUUAAACUUUCUAAGAUGUGGGUUAACUCUUUGCAUCCUAUUAGUUAGAUGUCUGCUGACACAGGAGAUGAGCAGGUUUGCCCUUGCGCCACCCUGAGCAGGGAACUGGAGCAGGCUGCUUGGCCAUCAUCUGGUUGGCAAGGAAAGAACAGUUUUCCAGGAGCCUGGACAUAGCCAGGUUCGAAUCCCUCUGUCUGGUGCAUUCAAAGAGGGCUGCAUGGUCUCUGGGGAGGGCCUCUGGCACUUGAGAGGCACUGAAGCUUCUGUUGGAGUGAAGAGUCGAAUGGAGGAAGAAGGGGAACCAGCUCCUGGGGGCCGUGCAGUGGGAUGCUCACCACACCCCUCCGAGGAACUUGCAGGUGUGCUGUUUCCUAAAGAGGACCAAGGCCGGGCUGGGAACUACUGGCAGAAAAAGCAGGAGAGGACACCAACUGUUGUAGACCAGCAAAGCUAUGAAUAUGCUCUGCUUAAAGAACUCUAAAAACUGGCCUUGAAAAACUAAGCACAGAAUUAAGGUUGCAGACUAUCGCACCUUGGGAAGAAUGCCAAGCAGUUAAUAUGUAUUGCUGUUGCAAUCAAGCUGGUGCCACCCAGACCAGCAGAUGGUUCAUCGCUCAAGAUGGUCAUCAAGACUAGAUAUACUGACCCACAUAUAGUCAACCCAUGCACAGAGCUUCUCCAUAUCCUCCCUCCCAGAAAAGCCCUCUGGCCAGCUUGAGAAACUUGAGAUGGUCUUUGUGAUACUAGCCUACCAUCUCUUUAGGUUGUCAGCUCCCGAAUAAAUCUGCUUUUCCUCUCACCAACUCUUGACUCCUGAGUUUGCCUUUUGAGUGGCGAGUGGCCAGACCUGGGUUCAGUUAUAAGAGGGGACCCUAUCCCCUGAUAAAAAGGUACACUUUACAAUCCUGUCCAUCAUGUAAGUGCCAAUCAAAGGUAAAAUUACUGUCCUGUAGCUCUCCUUCUCACAAACAGUUUUCACUCUUCUUCACCUGCUUAAGGUCCUGGUUACAAAUGGGAGUGCUUCCCUCAGUCACCUCCCCUUCUGAGACUGCAGCCACAUGGUCUACCAGCUGGCUGCCUGGUGCCCCAGCAUCUGCGUUGCUGCCAUGUGCUGAAAUCUUCCUCCCCUGAGCUUUGCUUUAUUAGAACAAUUUCCUAAGUUCCAUUUCACCAACAUCAAGAAGACAGAGAUGAACUAUCUAAAUAAAAUAACGCCUGCCAUCUUUUCCUUCAGUUCCUAUUGAUUGUGACUUAAUCUCUUGAGGCAAGUUGAUGGGCUUAAUAUUAAACUGAAAUACCAAGGGUUAGCAAAGGAAUCAGAGAAUUGAGUACAAAUAAAAUUGUCCACAAGUGGAAUUUUCCCAACUCUCCAAAGGGGUUGGCUUAAAGCAUGUCAGCCAGGAUUAAACCCAGGCAUUCCGACUCCAGAGCCUUAGGUCACAUACAGAUGAGUUGCACAGCAGGAAUGGGAGGGAGCAAAAGGUCCACUCUUGUUCCCUGUGCCACACAGCUCCUGAAAAAUUGUGUAUUAACUGCAUUGGUAUGAAUAUAAUUCUAUACAUUGUCUUUGAGCUGCUUUCAGAAGGGAUCCUCAGUCUAUAGGGAGAUUCAGAGGAGGUAGAAACUGCCCCCAAACAAGGUGCCUCUGAAAAUUCAUGUUAAGGCUGGUUCAAGGCCAGUCUUAGUUUUGGAAUGAGAGAGGUUCUCUGGGGUGUGAUAUUUGGGGCAAGGAGUGGCCAAGGCCUAUACCUCAAAACAUCUCUUCCAAGAGAUGUGCCUACAUUCCGUAAAGUCAAGAAACGUUGCUUUGAUGUACUUAAGAGCCCAGGGGUACCCUGUUAAAAUACAAUUUCUAGAAUGAAGUAUUAAACAAUACAUUUUUGAAUAAAUAGAAAUAAGAAAAUUGAUCACUAGAGGUCAAUUUGGUUCCUGGGAACAGUCCCACUGUUUUUUUCUGUCUGAAGACAAAGCGAAGGCCCCAUGAAGCUGUGAGCUCCUGCCCCAGAGAUGCUGAAGAAGAAUACAGAUAACCCCCACCAGAACAGGGGGCCCCAUCUGCUCUGGCCAUGGGUUUGGAUUUACAAAGUCCUCCAAUGUCUCCAAGAUCUCUUCUUCUGAUUCUGGGGAUAACAGGGAGAAGAGUACCCACUCACCUGCGAUAAGCUAUUGGGCUUUACUCGGGACUAGCUUGGGUGAGAGCACAGCCUACACCUUAUGCAGUUCCGUUAUCCCAGGCAGGGAUUUGUGGUUUAAAAUAUAGGUUUUAUUAGUAUUCAGAUAUGGUGAGGCUAACACAUCAGGAGACAAUUGCCAUUGAAAAGAUUGCUAUACUCACAAUUCCCAAGAGGAAGGGGCCCACCAAGCCAUGCAGGGGGGUAGAGGGGACGAGGGGAAGUCCUGGGGUCAGUUGGGAGGCAGAAGUAGUGAGAGGAAAACAUGGCCAAGAGCCUUUAUUGCGGUUUUCAUGGGAAGGAGCAAGCCGGCCAGUUUAAGAGGGCUUGGCAUUGACUAGUUUAAAUAACUUCAGCAAAUUCAGGGCCAUAGAGGCCAUCCCUAGUUGUCUGGCACCUGGCCCUGGGUGAGAGCCUUACAGAGAAGGUGGUUGGGGGUAUGGGCUCUGGAUUGGUUGGUGUGCAUUUGAAAGGCACAUUUAUAAGCAAGGUGCUCGCCAUUUCCAGGGAUUAGCAUGGGAGAGGCAGUCUCUCCAGGGUCAGCAAGUCCCUAAGAUAGCAAAGCAUCAAAAAUACAGAGUAAAAAUAAGUGAUUAAUACACUUUGUAUCUGGCAGGCAUUCAAAUAUUGAAAGAAUGAAUGAAUGAAUAAGUGUUUGCACAAGUGAGAUACUGAGUGGACCUAUUUGAAAAGAGAGAGUGGAAGAAUGGGCCCAGGAUGUGAGGGACUGCAGAGGACACUUGGAACAGGGGCCAGCAAAAGGGCUCUGAGCUCCAGAGAGGAACAACGAAGAGUAACCCUAAGGAUGCAGCUUGAGCUGUGGCCCCCAAAAGAUAGGUCCACAACCUAAUCCAUGGAAUCUGUGAAUGGACCUUAUGUGAGAAAAACAUCUUUACAAAGGUAAUUAAGUGAGAGACCUGAAGACGAUGACAUCCUAGAUCAGGCCAGAGCCUAAAUCCAAUGAUGAGUAUCUUUAUAAUGACGAGGGUCUUUAUAAGAGAUGUGAAAGGGAGAAGACACAGACAACAGACACAGAGGGAAGGCCACGGGAGGGCAAGGCAGAGACUGGAGUGAUGCUGCCACGAGUCAAGAGGAGCACCUGGAACCACCAGAGGUAGAUGAGGCAAGGACAGACUUUCCCUCGAUGUUUUUGAGGAAGUGUGGCCCUGCCAACACCUUGAUUUUGGACUCCUGGGCUCCAGAACUGUAAGAGAAUAAAUCGCUUUUAUUUUAGGCUACCAAGUC